This 77-nucleotide transfer RNA is filed under the name Asanoa iriomotensis. RNAcentral's name for it is "tRNA-Leu". It matches the Rfam family "tRNA". Rfam says of the family: Transfer RNA (tRNA) molecules are approximately 80 nucleotides in length. Their secondary structure includes four short double-helical elements and three loops (D, anti-codon, and T loops). The record is from RNAcentral. Lineage: Bacteria; Bacillati; Actinomycetota; Actinomycetes; Micromonosporales; Micromonosporaceae.
GGGGUCGUAGCCCAAUUGGCAGGAGGCAAACGGUUUAGGUCCGUUCCAGUGCGGGUUCGAGUCCCGCCGACCCCACC